AUACUUAAUAUAUAUGCAGUAGGAGCCUUUCCUACUGUCUCAACCUUAAAAAAAAAACAACUCUAAAAAGAUAUUAUCAUACAAUUUUACCCUUGCAUGUCUCUUUAGCUUCUUUCCUUUGCUAUUUUCUAUUAUGUAGCAAUAUUUGUGACUUAUUACAUGAACGUCUAUGAAAUAUCAAGCUUUCAGUAUCCCAGGAUUUUGCUACCAAUCAUUGUUUUUCUUGGGUGACAAACCAAUCAUUGGUUCUUACUUAAAUUCUUGCAUGAUAUUAAUCAUUCACCAUAUUGCACUUGGUGAGACCAUUUAUCAUGAAUGAGGAAGAGGAGAUCCUGGCCACUGCACUGCAUCUUCCAUAGGCUUGUGGCGAGGAUUAUAUCCCCAACAUCCUCCUGCAAGCCUGCAGCUACUGCCUCCCUAGAUAACGUCAAUCUACAUCAGCAAGGCUCUACCAUCACACAAAGCAAACAAUCAUGUGGAUUUGUGCAGUUCUCCCUCUGGAUGCGCUCGAUCUUGGAGACACCUUCUCGGCCUACAGAUUGUGACCAUAAUUGUGAGCUUUAUGGGCGGCAACUCACUGGAUAAAUAUAAUGGACUUGAGUGGUGGAUUUAGUAGCUUUUGAAAUGGGCCUUACUCUCUGGUUUCUCCUUCCACGACAGCAUGGUGUAGGAGUCGGCAUGACGCUGUGUAAGGUACUAAUGGUCUCUGAGGGUUUCGGAGUACUAUGAGCAUUGCCCAAGGUUCACACGACAGCGACUGCUAGAGAAGGCAUUCACCUCAAUGCAGGGGACAUAUGGUCUUUUGGACUACACCUCUUCGGACAACACGACAAGCAAGAUCUUUUUAGACAGAUCUAUCCAAUACACUACUAUCACCAUAUGCCAUAGAGCUAUAUAUAUCGGUUCUCUUAGGCUUCUGUUAGGACUUGCUUUUGGUAUAUCAUGCGACAUUUUCUAUGACAUGCUCAAAGUGAUGUAAUGAACCAAACCGUUACUGUUAUAAGUGCUUAGUUCCUCCUAUUUCUUUGAGAAAUCUGAAUGCUGGAAUCAAUGAUCUCUAUGUUUCCUUCAACCUGUGGGAUACAGUGUACCC
Molecule: long non-coding RNA, 1093 nt
Organism: Triticum dicoccoides
Lineage: Eukaryota; Viridiplantae; Streptophyta; Magnoliopsida; Poales; Poaceae
Exons: 5
Source: RefSeq, a predicted model, not a curated record